AGGGGGAUAACAGUUAGAAAUGACUGCUAAUACCGCAUAAGCGCACAGUCUCGCAUGGGACAGUGUGAAAAACUGAGGUGGUGUGAGAUGGAUCCGCGUCUGAUUAGGCAGUUGGCGGGGUAACGGCCCACCAAACCAACGAUCAGUAGCCGGCCUGAGAGGGUGAACGGCCACAUUGGGACUGAGACACGGCCCAAACUCCUACGGGAGGCAGCAGUGGGGAAUAUUGCACAAUGGGGGAAACCCUGAUGCAGCGACGCCGCGUGAAGGAAGAAGUAUUUCGGUAUGUAAACUUCUAUCAGCAGGGAAGAAAGUGACGGUACCUGACUAAGAAGCCCCGGCUAACUACGUGCCAGCAGCCGCGGUAAUACGUAGGGGGCAAGCGUUAUCCGGAUUUACUGGGUGUAAAGGGAGCGUAGACGGCAGCGCAAGUCUGGAGUGAAAUCCCAUGGCUUAACCAUGGAACUGCUUUGGAAACUGUGCAGCUGGAGUGCAGGAGAGGUAAGCGGAAUUCCUAGUGUAGCGGUGAAAUGCGUAGAUAUUAGGAGGAACACCAGUGGCGAAGGCGGCUUACUGGACUGUAACUGACGUUGAGGCUCGAAAGCGUGGGGAGCAAACAGGAUUAGAUACCCUGGUAGUCCACGCGGUAAACGAUGAUCACUAGGUGU
RNAcentral lists this ribosomal RNA (668 nucleotides) under uncultured bacterium. Its description in RNAcentral is "bacterial SSU rRNA". It matches the Rfam family "Bacterial small subunit ribosomal RNA", at positions 137 to 823 of the family's 1533-position model. The record is from RNAcentral.